AGAGUUUGAUCCUGGCUCAGGACGAACGCUGGCGGCGUGCCUAACACAUGCAAGUCGAGCGAUGAAACCCUUCGGGGUGGAUUAGCGGCGGACGGGUGAGUAACACGUGGGUAACCUGCCUCAAAGAGGGGGAUAGCCUCCCGAAAGGGAGAUUAAUACCGCAUAACAUUAGUUUUUCGCAUGAAGAACUAAUUAAAGGAGUAAUCCGCUUUGAGAUGGACCCGCGGCGCAUUAGGCAGUUGGUGAGGUAAAGGCUCACCAAGGCGACGAUGCGUAGCCGACCUGAGAGGGUGAUCGGCCACAUUGGAACUGAGACACGGUCCAGACUCCUACGGGAGGCAGCAGUGGGGAAUAUUGCACAAUGGGCGAAAGCCUGAUGCAGCAACGCCGCGUGAGUGAUGAAGGCCUUCGGGUUGUAAAGCUCUGUCUUUUGGGACGAUAAUGACGGUACCAAAGGAGGAAGCCACGGCUAACUACGUGCCAGCAGCCGCGGUAAUACGUAGGUGGCGAGCGUUGUCCGGAUUUACUGGGCGUAAAGGAUGCGUAGGCGGAUAUUUAAGUGAGAUGUGAAAUACCCGAGCUUAACUUGGGUGCUGCAUUUCAAACUGGAUAUCUAGAGUGCGGGAGAGGAGAAUGGAAUUCCUAGUGUAGCGGUGAAAUGCGUAGAGAUUAGGAAGAACACCAGUGGCGAAGGCGAUUCUCUGGACCGUAACUGACGCUGAGGCAUGAAAGCGUGGGUAGCAAACAGGAUUAGAUACCCUGGUAGUCCACGCCGUAAACGAUGAGUACUAGGUGUAGGA
This 800-nucleotide ribosomal RNA is filed under the name uncultured bacterium. RNAcentral's name for it is "bacterial SSU rRNA". It matches the Rfam family "Bacterial small subunit ribosomal RNA", at positions 8 to 827 of the family's 1533-position model. The record is from RNAcentral.